Zalophus californianus (California sea lion) is the source of this 257-nucleotide long non-coding RNA. RefSeq lists it as uncharacterized. The record is from RefSeq and is a predicted model, not a curated record. The transcript has 3 exons. Lineage: Eukaryota; Metazoa; Chordata; Mammalia; Carnivora; Otariidae.
AGAAGCUGGAUUCCCGCGGAGAAGGGAGCCCGAUGUGGGACUCGAUCCCAGGACCCUGGGAUCAUGACCCGAGCCGAAGGCAGACGCUUAACGACUGAGCCAUCCAGGCACCCUCAUUCAAUACUUUUUGAGCACAUACAUGAUCAGGGCAGAGGCUUUCUGGCUCAUGCACUGAAGAUGAGAUGGCAGUACAUCUUGUGGCGUGGAUAAACUCAACUGGGAAGAGUACUCCUGUCAUGGACCCUCAGAUGAACAAG